UUUUUUCUCACAGAACCCUGUGAGAGACCAAACUCUGCGUAGGAUACUGCAGUAGAGUGAACAACAUCAUCACCAGCCAUAAUCGAUAAUAUGCCUCCUUGUUGGCCUGCAUCAAAGCAAUGUCACGCAUGGCCAGCAGUAGUGUGCUACAAUUUGCUGCCUUCGUCAUAGAAGCAGGGAUGAAAGUCCUUAAUGAGCAUGACACAGAUCAAGACUGAACUCAGGAGAAGCUCCACUCUGCAAAUGUAAGGCCACAGGCUGGAGGACUCCAGCGCGAGAUUUGGCUGAAGCAGGCUGAGGACUGCUCUAAAUACCAGCAUAGAUACACUGUCAUAUUCAGAACGAAAGCCCAGGACUGCCUGGAUUUGAAAUACUUUGGCAAAGAACAAAUACAGCAGCAAUUCAAAGGGUAACUGAUAAAGACUCAAACUUCUACCCAGAAGAACUUAAUUUUCUAAUUACUAGUCAUCUGUUCAUCAAGAGGAAUCUGAUUGAAGAGGCUGGGAAAAAAGCACGAAAGAGAUUGAUCUGCAGCGAUAUUUGCUGCAAAGUCAGUGAGGACGUGUACAAGUGGAGCUUGUGAUGAAACUUAAGAAGCCAGCUGUGGAUAUCUUAGUGUCCCUGAAGUCAAAAGAAGUGGUCUUACUAACUUGUUUGUAAGUCAUAUGGUCAAACCAUGGUUGAGAACCUAAAGAUUCUACCCACAAAUGGAAAAAAGUACUGUUGCCUUGAAAGGAUUAACAGUAACCAGGCUGUUGAAGCUCUAAAAUCCCAUGUUCAACUUUAUUCUGUAAUAAUGAGGCAUGAUGUUCAGUGCUACAACCCAUUUUCAGACAAUGGUUUGAUUAAAUGUUUAAUGAAUGCCUCUAAUUUCUUUGUGAGAGCUUCUCUCUAAACAACCAAGCUAAUAACGUAAACAUUAGUAUUUGAUUAUUAAAAUAAUUGCUUUCAGGAACACUAACCUCCUGGCAAACAAAAUGGCACAGGUCACAAUUUUUGCAUAAAACCCCAUUUACAGUUAACCAAUGGCUUUUAUAAAAAAAAAACAAACCAAAACAAAACAAAAACUAGUCCAAAAGUAUUAAAGAUGGUGAUCUUUUGGCCAAAUGCCUGGAGAUUUGAUUCAAUUAAUCAAGGCAAUUGGUAAAAAAAAUAAUUAAUUUAACCAAAUGACCAUCUUCAGGAGCUUUCCCCAAGCAGAGCUGCAGGAUGUCUCCUCAAAUGAACUCUGCUCUCUGGCUAAGAUUAACCAAAACCGAGACCUUCCUUUAAGCCAAAAUUGUGAAGGAUUUGUACUCAGUUAAUGUUUUUUUUCCAGGAGUUACUUUGGAAAAGCCCCUGUAUUUUCAGCAAGGCUUUAAUGAGAAAAUAGAUGGACAUUUAUUUUUUUUCCCCCUAGCUUUAUAACCAAAAAUCAGAAGUAUUUUUGCAAAAUGGUGACAAAUUUUCAAGCCUCUUAAGUAAAAAAAUCUUAGUUAAACGGGUUGUCAAAACAUUUUGAAAACCUGUCAACAGCUCUAAUUCUUAGAAUCCAUGAUUCGGCACUGCCUGAGAUACUGUCUUGUCCGUGCUGAAGCAGCUAAACCACCUUUCUGGCUGAUUCAGCUUGGCCUUUUUUCUUCAUGGAAAGUUACUGGUACAUUUUCCUAUCUAUUAUGUGAUUCUUUAAGCUCAUCAGCAUCCCAUCAGCACCAUCCGGAGAGGACAUCUCCAGAAAGGUUACCACAGACUUCAGAGCCAGCCAGCUUCUACUGCUUGGAAUAGGUUUGCAAAGAACCCAAGGAAACAGCCAAUUUUUCAGUCUCUCUAUGGCACAUCCAUCACUUAAGAGGGGACAAUGCACGGCAUGGCGAGAGUAUGGGUUGCAUGAACUUUUCUAACCAUCUUCCCACCGAAAACCUUACUAGCCUUUCAUAGGAGCUGAAAUUGCCAAGCACUGUGGAGAACUGGAUC
Cuculus canorus (common cuckoo) is the source of this 1953-nucleotide long non-coding RNA. RefSeq lists it as uncharacterized. The transcript has 5 exons. The record is from RefSeq and is a predicted model, not a curated record. Lineage: Eukaryota; Metazoa; Chordata; Aves; Cuculiformes; Cuculidae.